Molecule: ribosomal RNA, 250 nt
Filed under: uncultured bacterium
Lineage: Bacteria
Description: partial 16S ribosomal RNA
Rfam family: Bacterial small subunit ribosomal RNA
Source: RNAcentral
UACGAAGGGUGCAAGCGUUGUUCGGAUUUAUUGGGCGUAAAGCGCGCGCAGGCGGAUUCUUAAGUCAGAUGUGAAAUCUCGAGGCUCAACCUCGAACGUGCGUCUGAAACUGAGUAUCUAGAAUAUCAGAGGGGGCAGAGGAAUUUCACAUGUAGGGGUAAAAUCCGUAGAGAUGUGAAGGAACACCGGAGGCGAAGGCGUCUGCCUGGAUGAUUAUUGACGCUGAGGCGCGAAAGCGUGGGGAGCAAAC